This is a non-coding RNA of Chelonoidis abingdonii (Abingdon island giant tortoise), 393 nucleotides long. The record is from RefSeq and is a predicted model, not a curated record. NCBI's taxonomy places the organism in Eukaryota, Metazoa, Chordata, Testudines, Testudinidae.
AGUCAACAAGGCAAAAGAAGAAAAGACUGCAGUAUCCAAUGACUGAGAUAAGGACCUGAACAAAAUUGUUGGUGCUGGAAGGACCAUAUUCAUUACUGGUCGCUCAGUCAGAAUCUAGCCCAGAGAAUGGAAAACUGCUGUUUUGUGGGUAACUUGACACAGAUGACCCCAAAGAGACAAGAUUCCUUUUGCCUCUAAAGAGAGGAUCUGGAAGGUCUCUCUACUUUAGUGGUGCUCAAUGAAUAUAAAGUCUUCCUGCGCUUUCAAAUGAUUAUUAGGAUAUAAAUGCAAUGAUCAGACAGUUGUCAUUUGCAUCUUUCACACUCAAGUUGUUUCGCCGUCUCCUGGAAUUUCUCCUGAAAAAUUAUAAACCUUGGCUGGUGCACAAUGUGU